AAGUAGUCAAUGAUUCAUUAAUCAAUAAGAAAAAAAAUCUUACUCUCACGGAAUACAAGCAAAUCUUUUAGUAAAUGCAUAAAGAUCAGAGAAAAACAAAAGAAACCAUAAAAUUAUAUCUAUUUUCUGUUCAACCUGCUACAGGAGCUAACAUAUUGCCAUAAUUUAUUUCAGUAAUUCCUCCAUAAAUUAUUUUCCUGGCAACCAAGCCCAGAAUCAGGAGAAAAGGUCAUUCAUCCGGUGAAAAGAAAGGAAAGAAAGAGGUCAGGGAAUAUUAAGGAUGAUAUAGUAACUAUUUUAUAUAUAUCAUAUAUGAUAAGCCAAGAAUAUCAGACUUGCCUGAGUUUACAUUUCCUCAAGUUCAUCACCUUUCUUUACUGCUGUAAAUUAGGUCAUGGCUGAAAGAUGAUGAAAACCCUAAAUCCUCCUCUCACCGUCCUCCUCCUCCUCCUCCUCCUCCUCCUCCGGCCCGCAACUUUUCGACAUCGAAGACUGAUAAUCUCCUCUUGAUGACAUUCCUCUCAGCUUUUGAAGCACCAUCGCCAUCUUUCCUUGGACAAAUUCAGUGACACCAAAAGAAAGAAAUUGAACGACGACAGAGACUGAUCCUGUGAAUUCCUUCAGAAACUGGUCACUUAGGUAGAAGUUAGAAUUAAGGUGUAGAGAGAGAGAGAGAGAGAGAGAGAGAGAGAGAGAGGGGGAGAGAGAGAGAGGG
Molecule: long non-coding RNA, 715 nt
Filed under: Malus domestica (apple)
Lineage: Eukaryota; Viridiplantae; Streptophyta; Magnoliopsida; Rosales; Rosaceae
Description: long non-coding RNA (MDOM_LNC004169)
Source: RNAcentral